AUAGUAUAAUAGUUCACAUUUUUAACUUAAAUUUUUCGCCCGGUGUACCGGCAUUGUCGGUCACUUCAAAGCGUCGGUCCCAGAGCUUUUUGUCAAACUUCUCGGACGGCACUGGAACCCUCAUACCGAUAAAUGAAAAAGAAGCGGAAUUCUCUGGGUCGGCGACUUUCUGAAUGUGCGACAGCUGGCGCAACACCUUGAUUUUGGACUCCAUAUUAGCCCACGCACAAUUUAACAGAUCUGAGAUGUAAGAUCUGAGUUAGGAGAUCUGAGGGUUAUUGAAAGUAAUCCCCAAACAACUCUUUCGUAUCUUGGCAUUCGUAGAUCGAUCUAUCUAAAAGCGGCGAUCGCUGCUACUUAACUUUUCGGCUUAGGUUCCUAGAUCUCUACUUAGUAAAUGAGGAGAAUCGAAUCUCCUUUACUUCUCUUUGAGCCAGGACAAUUGUCUGUUUCCGCCGACUCAAAAGAGAGGAUGCACCUUCGACUCGGUUCGCUUUAUCAAAGUCUUCAGAUCUUGAUCUCCAACGAAAAAGGAAAUAUAUGUGGAGUUCGAGGAUGAAGUGGAGGAAGAUCGGAGAUCCCUGCGCAAUAUUUGGCAACCCAAUUACUUUGUUUGCUUAGCCGACAAAAUGUUUAUUCAAGUCCCGAGUUGAGAUUCCUCUGGGGGGCGAGCUGGAAAUUUUCAGUUUAGACAGACAGAUGAGCGCCGAUAAAAAAAAACACACGAGAUGGGUAACCGACAACAAAACUAAAGGAAAAUAAAAAUCCUCGGAGUGCAACGAACUGCGUCCGGAUUUUGUUAAA
This is a long non-coding RNA of Drosophila yakuba, 804 nucleotides long. RefSeq lists it as uncharacterized. The record is from RefSeq and is a predicted model, not a curated record. NCBI's taxonomy places the organism in Eukaryota, Metazoa, Arthropoda, Insecta, Diptera, Drosophilidae. The transcript has 2 exons.